GUGGCGUGAUGUCAUCAGACAGGGCGAGGACACCUCGCUGCACCGUGGCUGUCGGACUUGUUAAGCAAGCGCAGGAAUGCGGCACGACUCAGCUGCUUUCUGCUUUUUAACACACGCUGAGAUCUCUGUGCCGGAGCCAUGGACAUCACCGCGUAUGUAGGACGCUGCUUCAUCUUCUUCGUCUUGGCCAUUGUCCUGGAUGUGACCGGCCUCGUCCUGUUCCUGCUCGGCAUCUUCGCCCCACUCAGCUUCUGGGAUUUCUUCGUGCUCUCGGGGCCCAUCAUCAUCUUCCUCAGCCUCCUCUUCUGGAUCUUCUGGUACCUGGGGAACCUCAACGUGCCCUACCAGCAGCUCCUACCCUGAAGGAAUGGAAGGAGUGGACAGGGCCAAGGGAUUGGGGACUCUCAGAGUUUACGAGCAAAGCGGGGAAAUCAAGCUCUUUAGGGGCCCUAUGAAGUGUACGCCCUGUUUUAACACAGAGGGAUCUGCUGUUGUUAUGACGUGUCAAAGCCCUAAAUGAGGAAUACAACUUCCACAAGACUGUGAGGAACUCCCCAGGACUCGAACUGCAAUCUGUGCACUUUGUUUAAGGGCGCUUGUUCUGAAAUGGGAACGAAGCCCCAUCAGUGAUGCCGCUGUUACUGUUCUGUAUUUACAUUUGAGAAAUAAAUGUGAUUUUAAUGCCGAAGGUGAGUUGAAGUGGAUCACAGGUAUACAGAGAAUUCACUCUAAACACUGUAAUGACGUUCAGAUUCCAGGCCAAAGCUGUCCGACUGGAAGAUCCAGUGGGUGUGUGUGUGUAUGUGUGUGUGUGUGUAUGUGUGUCUUGUGCUCAUUGAAACUCAGGAAACCUCUGAUUCUGAAAAUACUGUAGCAUUAAGAUUGAUCAUAUGAAUUGCUAUAGCUGGUAGAAAUGUUCAGGUUACAGCACGGAAUAAAACAAGACAGAAACCAGGAA
Long non-coding RNA from Pangasianodon hypophthalmus (striped catfish), 958 nucleotides. RefSeq lists it as uncharacterized. The transcript is spliced from 2 exons. Lineage: Eukaryota; Metazoa; Chordata; Actinopteri; Siluriformes; Pangasiidae. The record is from RefSeq and is a predicted model, not a curated record.